RNAcentral lists this unclassified non-coding RNA (201 nucleotides) under uncultured fungus. Its description in RNAcentral is "sequence contains ITS1". The record is from RNAcentral. Lineage: Eukaryota; Fungi.
UUAACUAUUAUAUAGUACUCAGACGACACUAACAUUCAGAGUUUGGGGUCCUCUGGCGGGCGCUUACCAGCGGGAGCCGGUAGCCAGACCGAGGCCUGACGGCCCGCCAAAGCAACAAAGGUAAUGAUAACACAGGGUGGGAGGUCUACCCCGAAGGGCAUGAACUCGGUAAUGAUCCCUCCGCAGGUUCACCUACGGAGA